This 159-nucleotide unclassified non-coding RNA is filed under the name Carnobacterium mobile. RNAcentral describes it as "small 16S-23S ribosomal RNA intergenic spacer". Lineage: Bacteria; Bacillati; Bacillota; Bacilli; Lactobacillales; Carnobacteriaceae. The record is from RNAcentral.
CUAAGGAUUUUAACGGAACCUACACAGUCGUUCUUUCUUUGUUCAGUUUUGAGAGGUCUAAUCUUCUCAAAAUCGUUGUUCUUUGAAAACUGGAUAUUGUUUAAUUGUAAAAAUUGUAAGAAACCGAGAAACACACCGCGUUUGUAAGAGUUUGACACG